UACAGGGGAUGCAAGCGUUAUCCGGAAUUAUUGGGCGUAAAGCGUCCUGAGGUGGCUUACCCAGUCGACUGUGAAAGCUCAAGGCUCAACCUUGAAACGGCAGUCGAAACUUGUAAGCUUGAGUACGGUAGAGGCAGAGGGAAUUCCCGGAGGAGAGGUGAAAUUCGUAGAUAUCGGGAGGAAGGCCAAAGGCGAAAGCACUCUGCUGGGCCGAUUACUGACACUGACAGACGAAAGCUAGGGGAGCGAAAGGG
This 254-nucleotide ribosomal RNA is filed under the name uncultured bacterium. RNAcentral's name for it is "partial 16S ribosomal RNA". It matches the Rfam family "Bacterial small subunit ribosomal RNA", at positions 524 to 776 of the family's 1533-position model. The record is from RNAcentral.